UAGGGAAUCUUCCACAAUGGACGCAAGUCUGAUGGAGCAACGCCGCGUGAGUGAAGGAGGUCUUCGGAUCGUAAAACUCUGUUGUUAGAGAAGAACACGAGUGAGAGUAACUGUUCAUUCGAUGACGGUAUCUAACCAGCAAGUCACGGCUAACUACGUGCCAG
This 164-nucleotide ribosomal RNA is filed under the name uncultured bacterium. RNAcentral describes it as "partial 16S rRNA". It matches the Rfam family "Bacterial small subunit ribosomal RNA", at positions 355 to 511 of the family's 1533-position model. The record is from RNAcentral.